CAUUUCAACCUGCCUUUACUUUUACCCUCUCAUGCUCCCUCACCCCACAAAGCUUUUGUACAUUCUGUGUCUCCUUCCUGGAACAUUUUAACUCCCUCUGCAUCUAGGUCUUUGCCUGAGCUCAGGUUCCCUAAAAAGCCUGGUCCGAGGCAAUGAGUAAAAAUGCUCCCAUUUUGUUUAAGGAAGUGCAAACUCACGGAAAGAAGGUGAUGGAAACAGCAAAGAAGGGAGGGCUGAGAAGCAAUGCAAAGUGAGGUAUACCAUCCUGGCCACAGCUUCCCAAGUUAGGCCCUUUGCCGGGUGCGCCCAUGUGGCCAUGAGGGACAUCUCAGAGGGGCUGCAGAGAUCAGAACCACCCAUCAAAAUGGAGGCCUGCAAGUAAGAGGAGGAACGGGGAGGAGACAGAACACAGAAAUCUUCUGAGUGGCUUUGGUGACAGGUGGGUAGGAGUCAUUACCUGCCAUUUGCAUGUAAGCGUUUUUGUUCCUCUUGUUUAUUGCUCCUAUUUACUCAUGUGUGCCCAGGAUCUUCAAAAUCCAGGUAAGAAACACAGUGAAGAACUCAUUCACUGCAAGUUUGGCCCCAUCCAUCAGUACCAAUGAAGAGAGACAAAUCAAGAUAGAAAGACAUCAUUACCGUCUCUAUUGAUAGUGGUAUUAUGUAGUAAUGAAUAAAAAUAACUCCUUUACACAG
RNA transcript from Cebus imitator (Panamanian white-faced capuchin), 693 nucleotides. It is a transcript of the gene named Gilles de la Tourette syndrome chromosome region, candidate 1, with no coding region annotated. Lineage: Eukaryota; Metazoa; Chordata; Mammalia; Primates; Cebidae. The record is from RefSeq and is a predicted model, not a curated record. The transcript is spliced from 3 exons.